This 74-nucleotide transfer RNA is filed under the name Actinoplanes sp. SE50/110. RNAcentral describes it as "tRNA-Ala (CGC) (tRNA-Ala-CGC-3-1)". It matches the Rfam family "tRNA". From Rfam's summary of the family: Transfer RNA (tRNA) molecules are approximately 80 nucleotides in length. Their secondary structure includes four short double-helical elements and three loops (D, anti-codon, and T loops). Further hydrogen bonds mediate the characteristic L-shaped molecular structure. tRNAs have two regions of fundamental functional importance: the anti-codon, which is responsible for specific mRNA codon recognition, and the 3' end, to which the tRNAs corresponding amino acid is attached (by aminoacyl-tRNA synthetases). tRNAs cope with the degeneracy of the genetic code in two manners: having more than one tRNA (with a specific anti-codon) for a particular amino acid; and 'wobble' base-pairing, i.e. permitting non-standard base-pairing at the 3rd anti-codon position. Lineage: Bacteria; Bacillati; Actinomycetota; Actinomycetes; Micromonosporales; Micromonosporaceae. RNAcentral also lists the same sequence under 1 other name. The record is from Rfam by way of RNAcentral.
GGGCCGGUAGCGCAGCUGGUCGACGCACACCGUUCGCAUCGGUGGGGACGCCGGUUCGAAUCCGGCUCGGCUCC